This 510-nucleotide ribosomal RNA is filed under the name Dacus mediovittatus. RNAcentral describes it as "partial 16S ribosomal RNA". It matches the Rfam family "Bacterial large subunit ribosomal RNA", at positions 1819 to 2597 of the family's 2925-position model. The record is from RNAcentral. Lineage: Eukaryota; Metazoa; Arthropoda; Insecta; Diptera; Tephritidae.
GUCUUUUUGAGUUAAAUUUAAAGUCUGACCUGCCCACUGAAUUUUAAAUGGCCGCAGUAUUUUAACUGUGCAAAGGUAGCAUAAUCAUUAGUCUUUUAAUUGAGGGCUGGCAUGAAUGGUUGGACGAGGUAUCAACUGUUUCAUAUAAAUUUAUAUUAGAAUUUUAUAUUUUAGUUAAAAAGCUAAAAUGGAGUUAAAAGACGAGAAGACCCUAUAAAUCUUUAUAUUUUAUAUUAUUUGAAUUUUUUUGGUUUAUUUUAUUUUUAUUAUGUAAAAUAUUUUGUUGGGGUGAUGUUAAAAUUUAGUUAACUUUUAAUUGUUUGUAAUCAUUAAUUUAUGUGCUGUUGAUCCAUUAUUAGUGAUUAUCAGAUUAAGUUACUUUAGGGAUAACAGCGUAAUUUUUUUGGAGAGUUCAUAUCGAUAAAAAAGUUUGCGACCUCGAUGUUGGAUUAAGAGAUAGGUUUAGGUGUAGCUGCUUAAAUAUUAAGUCUGUUCGACUUUUAAAUUCUU